Molecule: long non-coding RNA, 233 nt
Organism: Phyllostomus discolor (pale spear-nosed bat)
Lineage: Eukaryota; Metazoa; Chordata; Mammalia; Chiroptera; Phyllostomidae
Exons: 3
Source: RefSeq, a predicted model, not a curated record
GGGUUUCAGGAUGUGAACCAGGACGAUGGGUUGGGUAAAGGGCUGGGCUGUUCCCAGGUAUAGUCGGGUGAGGCUGGUGCCAGAUGUCUAUUGUGCACAGUGGGUGAGAGUUUCGAUUAAGCCGCAGGCUACAAGCCAAUCGGGACAACUGAGUCAUAGGCAGUCCAUAAAGUUGGAAACUGGCCUGACUGGGUCAUUAGCAGUCUGGGGGUUGGAGAUCUGGCCUGACCCUU